GAUGAACGCUGGCGGCGUGCCUAAUACAUGCAAGUCGAGCGAACAGACGAGGAGCUUGCUCCUUUGACGUUAGCGGCGGACGGGUGAGUAACACGUAGGUAACCUACCUAUAAGACUGGGAUAACUUCGGGAGACCGGAGCUAAUACCGGAUAAUAUUUCGAACCGCAUGGUUCGAUAGUGAAAGAUGGCUUUGCUAUCACUUAUAGAUGGACCUGCGCCGUAUUAGCUAGUUGGUAAGGUAACGGCUUACCAAGGCAACGAUACGUAGCCGACCUGAGAGGGUGAUCGGCCACACUGGAACUGAGACACGGUCCAGACUCCUACGGGAGGCAGCAGUAGGGAAUCUUCCGCAAUGGGCGAAAGCCUGACGGAGCAACGCCGCGUGAGUGAUGAAGGUCUUCGGAUCGUAAAACUCUGUUAUUAGGGAAGAACAAACGUGUAAGUAACUGUGCACGUCUUGACGGUACCUAAUCAGAAAGCCACGGCUAACUACGU
RNAcentral lists this ribosomal RNA (496 nucleotides) under uncultured bacterium. Its description in RNAcentral is "partial 16S ribosomal RNA". It matches the Rfam family "Bacterial small subunit ribosomal RNA", at positions 28 to 506 of the family's 1533-position model. The record is from RNAcentral.